Macrobrachium nipponense is the source of this 1519-nucleotide long non-coding RNA. RefSeq lists it as uncharacterized. Lineage: Eukaryota; Metazoa; Arthropoda; Malacostraca; Decapoda; Palaemonidae. The transcript is spliced from 2 exons. The record is from RefSeq and is a predicted model, not a curated record.
ACAACCCUCCUUUAAUUAUUGUUACGAGGGACAACGACUUAAUCAACCAAUUAAAAUGUCCAAAAAAGUCGUAGUAUCAGAAGAUGUGCAUAAUCUUAGCGAAACUAGUGAUGAUGACAAUAUUCCACCGGCACAACCCAAAAAGAAGAGAUGUCCCAAAACGGAAGAAACCAGCCAGGAACCUUCCAAUAGUGAAAUUCUUCAAUUGUUAUUAUUACAGAAUCAAACAUUAUUGAAACUAGUGGAGAAAGGAAGUGGUUCGACUGCAAAAAGGAAUGACAAUACUCCUCCUCCUAAGCGCCCUCGCCGUAAAGUAGAUUUACCUGAGAAUGCAAAUGAAGAAUUAUUUACAACUUAUAAUGAAGAUAGUAGUGACUAUGAAGAAUUUAACCCGCUUACCUUUAACAAACCUAUUCCUACUUAUAUAUCUAACAAUUUUAAUGCUGUGCCCUCCAUUCAUAGAGAUGGGAAUAUACAAUUAAAUGACUCCCUAAUUGCAUUAACAUUAAGUGAAGGAGACAAGAACUCUCAUGAUCAAUUCUUUGUUUGUAAUCAUAAUAAAGAACUUGCAGACCUUUUCAAAUUGAUAAAUUUGCCAAAGUUGAACUUUUGGCCAAGUGGCAGGUUGUUUAAUGAAGAUUCAAGAAGAAAUUUCACCUUGAUAUUGAAAACAUUAAAAUGGCUAUAUCUUCUUUUCAAGGGCAUGCAGCUCUGGCGCAAUUAGCUUACCCCUCUAAGAUUAACGAUAUUGAUUUCAUUACUAAAGUGAUAAUUGGGCCUUUCAGGAAACACAUUGAUCUAAUUAAAAGUUUAAUCCGCUCAUUCAGAAGUAGAUCUUUACCCAGGAACCUCAAUUUAGAUACCAGAGAUGCUAUUAUUAAAGCUGAAACUAAUGAUAUAUGGGUCUUAUCAGAUGAUCAAAGGAAAGCUAUUGCUUCGUGCUUUCGAGGCGGUCCCCUUCCUAGAGGAGGGGACAUUAUCUCUAGAGGUGGAAGGUUCAACUUUCGCAAGCAUCAGGGCUACCCCAAGAGGGAAAUUUAACUUUUACAGAGGAUUCAGGGGAAGCUUUGGGUUCAGGAAUAGGUUCAAUCCCUACAGGCGAGGUAUCAAGAGAGGUGGCCGAAGAGGUGGAAGGAGUACAGGGGGACAGACAGCAAUUAAUUCAGACGUCAAAGAUAAGAAACAAAACUAAUUAUGCUUUAAUUCUUAAUACCAUCGAGCCCUGCUCGGACCAAGAGGAAAAUAACCUGGAGCUACACAGUAAAGAUAAAAAUUUGGCAAAUGUACCCACUAACAAUUCAAUGAUAUUGGAAGAGUUAAAUUUCCCUACAGAAGCCUCUAGCUCCAAGGAAACCUCUCACGCCCCUCCAGUAAGUGGGAUAGGUAGGUCAUUGACAAAUAAAUUAAAAAAUUGGCAAAAACUCCCAAAUUCUUCUUUUGCAUGCAACUUGAUCAGUAAGGGUGUGAGACUCCCAUUUACCAAUAAAAAUAAGGCUCAAAAGACUUUGAAAAGAUUAGG